UACGGAGGGGACUAGCGUUGUUCGGAAUUACUGGGCGUAAAGCGCACGUAGGCGGAUUUGUAAGUCAGGGGUGAAAUCCCGAGGCUCAACCUCGGAACUGCCUUUGAUACUGCAAAUCUCGAGUCCGGAAGAGGUGAGUGGAAUUCCUAGUGUAGAGGUGAAAUUCGUAGAUAUUAGGAAGAACACCAGUGGCGAAGGCGGCUCACUGGUCCGGUACUGACGCUCAUGUUCGAAAGCGUGGGGAGCAAACAGG
Molecule: ribosomal RNA, 253 nt
Filed under: uncultured bacterium
Lineage: Bacteria
Description: partial 16S ribosomal RNA
Rfam family: Bacterial small subunit ribosomal RNA
Source: RNAcentral